AAUCUUGCGCAAUGGGCGAAAGCCUAACGCAGCCAUGCCGCGUGAAUGAUGAAGGUCUUAGGAUUGUAAAAUUCUUUCACCGGGGACGAUAAUGACGGUACCUGGAGAAGAAGCCCCGGCUACCUUCGUGCCAGCAGCCGCGGUAAUACGAAGGGGGCUAGCGUUGCUCGGAAUUACUGGGCGUAAAGGGCGCGUAGGCGGAUCGUUAAGUCAAGGGUGAAAUCCCGGGGCUAAACCUCGGAACUGCCCUGGAUACUGGCGAUCUUGGGUAUGAGAGAGGUAUGUGGAACUCCGAGUGUAGGGGUGAAAUUCGUAGAUAUUCGGAAGAACACCAGUGGCGAAGGCGACAUACUGGCUCAUUACUGACGCUGAGGCGCGAAAGCGUGGGGAGCAAACA
RNAcentral lists this ribosomal RNA (397 nucleotides) under uncultured bacterium. RNAcentral's name for it is "partial 16S ribosomal RNA". It matches the Rfam family "Bacterial small subunit ribosomal RNA", at positions 360 to 774 of the family's 1533-position model. The record is from RNAcentral.